This 249-nucleotide ribosomal RNA is filed under the name uncultured bacterium. Its description in RNAcentral is "partial 16S ribosomal RNA". It matches the Rfam family "Bacterial small subunit ribosomal RNA", at positions 524 to 776 of the family's 1533-position model. The record is from RNAcentral.
UACGAAGGGUGCAAACGUUGCUCGGAAUUAUUGGGCGUAAAGCGCACGUAGGCGGCUUUGCAAGUCGGAUGUGAAAUCCCCUCGGCUUAACCAAGGAAGUGCAUCCGAAACUGCAGAGCUUGAGUACUUAAGAGGAUCGCGGAAUUCCCGGUGUAGAGGUGAAAUGCGCAGAUAUCAGGAGGAACACCGGUGGCGAAGGCGGUCUCUGGCCGUAACUGACGCUGAGGAGCGAAGCAUGGAGCGAACAGG